This is a long non-coding RNA of Macaca mulatta (Rhesus monkey), 507 nucleotides long. RefSeq lists it as uncharacterized. The record is from RefSeq and is a predicted model, not a curated record. NCBI's taxonomy places the organism in Eukaryota, Metazoa, Chordata, Mammalia, Primates, Cercopithecidae.
CGCCCUCGGGCCUGCGCCUCCGAACGCUUGAACACAAAGGUGGCUCCUUGGGGGCGUCAGCCGGGGUUAGGCGGGUCUCCCCACGCAGGAGAGGUGCCCAGAGCGGUUGCCCCCGACUUUCGGGGCGAGACACACGGGGAUCUAAGUCACAAAUCAGUAACUCCGGGCUGCACUACGCACCGGGACAAAUCUGAGAGCCACCCAGUCCCAGACACCAGCGGUGAGGCAGAAAGAGGAGAAGCAAAAGCUGGAAAAGGAAACCUUCAGGAAAACAAACAGGCCGCGUUGGCACCGGCGCCCUCCCAGGUUCAGAACUGAAGGAUAAACAUGAAAAGCAAAGUUGGAAGGAUGAAAAUACAAGCGUUCUCGGUGGUUAAGAGGAUGUGGCUUACGUCCAAGGCCACAUUGGAGCAACAUACUCCUUUCCAUCUGUAUUCGUCAUCAAUUGCCACAUAACAAAUUGCCCCAGGAUUUAACAGCUAAGAACAGUAAACAUUCGUUAUUUCA